CCCCUCCGAUUAUUCACCAACAAACCCCAUGGGCUAGGCAGGCGCGUCUCCUUCCCCUGCUCGCAACCUCCCCCUCUCCAGAUCUGAAAUUCGCCGCGCUCCCGUGCUCGUUCCCCGCACGCAAACUCGAGAUCCAGAUCUCGCUGAGAGCCCCUUGUUACCUUUCAUCAUCAUGGUGCCGAAUUCCUUGCCCCCUUCGCGGAACCGUGGGUUUGCUCUGUUUCGAUUUGUUAGGAAAAAUCCGUUUGUUUCCUGAUGCGCAGGCUCGGGUCGUCUGACCGGUGGAUCGGGUGUGCUGCCGGGUGAAUCGAGCUGCGGCGGCCUGGAUCUGGACCUGCCCACGGAGGCUACGGAUCCGCGCUCAAUCUGCACCGAUCUGGCGGGCCGCGGCGUGAUUGGAUUGCUCCGACGUGGGCUGGAGGGGGCGGCGGAGUUUUGCCAGGGCGUGGCCGGCCGGCGGGACCUCUUCCUCUGCUCCACCGCGCGGGAUCUCUCUGUGCUGAUAAUUAUUGGAUGAAUUUCGAUAAUUAUUAGUAGAUCUAAGAGAUGCGAACCGUGCCGCCUUGAAGAGCCGAGGUAAGGUGAACCAUGUAACGUUGAGUCGGCGUGCGUUGAGGGCACAAAAAAAAGAGAGAAAAAAAAAAGAUGUGACCUGAGAGAGGCCUUUGCCAUGAUGGGUGCGCUCGCAUGGCAGGCCACGGCAAUAAAAACAUAUUCUUGUGUCCCGGGGAAGAGAUCGCACGGGGGUUGAUUUUUUUCGCCCCGGGUUCUCCUCCCCCCUUGGUGUCCCUGUCCCCGUUGCUUUGUGUUCUCCGCUGCUCCUCUUCGCUUCGGUACUCGUGCAUCGCCACUGCAAAAAUCUGGAGCUCCAGCGAUACCCCAAAGGUACAAUCGGUAAUUUAGUCUGCAAUUUCCUUUACGUUCAUUUGCUCUUCGCAACGCUUAUAUUAUGUGAUCUCGCGUAUUAGCGUUAAAAAGGCCCUUAAAGCACCUUGAAUAAGCAUCUCAUCCACUUCACUCGAACCAGUUGUCAAGAUGAGAAAUUUUAAUGCUCCCAGGACUCUCAAAAGAUCACUUGACCUUCUAAAUUUCAACAAACCAGUAAAGCAAACUUAAGAUGCAUCCACAUAUUUGAGCGCACUUCUGGUUAAAAACUUCGAAUCACUGAGCUGACAGAUGCACAAUGGAUUCGUAUAUAUUUUUCCACCGAAUUUAUCUAACACAUGCUUGUCCAGUUUGCUGCUACAUCAUAGCUCGUGAUAUGGAAUUUUCAAUUCGAUCUGUUAUGCACUCCAGACUUUUGUGUACUUUGUCUAUUUGUCUAUGUAUAUGCAUAUGUGUGUCAUUUUACUAUAUACUGAUUUGGAACAUUUCUUUUUACAUAGCAUUUUUGUUAAGCCCUGGCAACUGUAGGGGGCGUGUAGGGGGUUUCAAAGUAGCUGUAUGAUGAACUGUACUAUUGGUCUGUUUUGUUAAGCACUAUCAAUUGUUGGGUUUGUAGAGGGUUUCAAAAUUGCUGUAUGCUGCUAUUAUCAAGAAUAUACAUACCUACGAAAAGAGGAGGCUGCCCUGAUGGAGGUUUGCACGAGCUGAAGAUGUUGGCAAUAUGAACCUGAUGACAUUACGAGCUGAAGAUUUUGACAAUAUGAACGAUCCGGUUUGUUGCUUUGCCUCGUGGUGCUAAGUGUACCUGAUGAAUUUUAAUCUCAUUGCUGGAGCUUGUACGGUGACUCCAUUUUUUCAGGUAGUUAAAUCAACUCAUUUAGAAGUCGGGGACACUGGGUUUUCUGGAGAUUCCAUUGAUGAGGGUUGUAAUUACUAAUGUUCAAUCUUAUGAGUCUUUGGAAUUAAUCCAUGAGCAGUGGAGAUGGACUUAAUCUGAUUUAAGGUGAUUGGUAAGUCGGUGACAUGAUUUAAGGUAAAAUUGGUCCGGGUUGUGCAAGUUAAAAUUAUUACUGUCUCUUUGUAAGCUUAUACGUUGGAUUGAUCACCGUGAGAUUUCUGUCAUUUCCAUGUUUUAUCACGAGAAGUUAAUUUUGUUCAAUUAGGCGUGUCUGGGCAGAAGCAGUAGCAGAGGUGGCAAAGGGAACUUGGCUACUUUUUGUUGUAAUUUGUCGGUGAAGUUUACUAUUUUUGUAGCAAUUUUGUUCAGUAAAUCUUAAUGCCCUAGAGGAAGUUGUUUCAA
Molecule: long non-coding RNA, 2185 nt
Organism: Panicum virgatum (switchgrass)
Lineage: Eukaryota; Viridiplantae; Streptophyta; Magnoliopsida; Poales; Poaceae
Exons: 2
Source: RefSeq, a predicted model, not a curated record